Molecule: ribosomal RNA, 492 nt
Filed under: uncultured bacterium
Lineage: Bacteria
Description: partial 16S ribosomal RNA
Rfam family: Bacterial small subunit ribosomal RNA
Source: RNAcentral
AGUGAACGCUGGCGGUAGGCCUAACACAUGCAAGUCGAACGCCGGCACAGUAAGAGCUUUCUCUUACGGGUGGCGAGUAGCGGACGGGUGAGGAAUACAUCGGAAUCUACUUUUUCGUGGGGGAUAACGUAGGGAAACUUACGCUACUACCUCAUACGACCUACGGGUGAACGCAGAGGAUCUUCGGACCUUGCCCGAUCGACUGAGCCGAUGUGGGAUUAGCUAGUUGGGGGGGUAGAGGCCCACCAAGGCGACGAUCCGUAGCUGGUCUGAGAGGUGGAUGAGCCACAAUGGACUUGGGAAACGGUCCAGACUCCUACGGGAGGCAGCGGAGGGGAAUAUUGGACAAUGGGCGCAAGCCGGAUCAAGCCAUACCGCGUGGUUGAAGAAGGCCUUCGGGUGGUAAAGCCCUUUUGUUGUGAAAGAAAAGCAGCAGGUUAAUACCCCGAUGUUCUGACGGUACCCAAAGAAUAAGCACCGGCUAACUUCGUG